GACGAACGCUGGCGGCGUGCUUAACACAUGCAAGUCGAACGGAAAGGCCCUGCUUUUGUUGGGUGCUCGAGUAGCGAACGGGUGAGUAACACGUGAGUAACCUGCCCUUGACUUUGGGAUAACUUCAGGAAACUGGGGCUAAUACCGGAUAGGAGCUCCUGCUGCAUGGUGGGGGAUGGAAAGUUUCGGCGGUUGGGGAUGGACUCGCGGCUUAUCAGCUUGUUGGUGGGGUAGUGGCUUACCAAGGGUUUGACGGGUAGCCGGCCUGAGAGGGGUACCGGCCACAUUGGGACUGCGGUACGGCCCAGACUGCUACGGGAGGCAGUAGUGGGGAAUAUUGCACAAUGGGCGGAAGCCUGAUGAAGAAACGCCGCGUGCGGGAUGACGGCCUUCGGGUUGUAAACCGCUUUCGCCUGUGACGAAGCGUGAGUGACGGUAAUGGGUAAAGAAGCACCGGCUAACUACGUG
RNAcentral lists this ribosomal RNA (468 nucleotides) under uncultured bacterium. RNAcentral describes it as "partial 16S ribosomal RNA". It matches the Rfam family "Bacterial small subunit ribosomal RNA", at positions 28 to 507 of the family's 1533-position model. The record is from RNAcentral.